GGGCCGUUAGCUUAGGCGGAUGAGCCGUUGACGCCUAAUCAACGAGACAGAGGUUUGCCCCCUGUACGGCCCGCCA
RNAcentral lists this transfer RNA (76 nucleotides) under Serratia marcescens. RNAcentral's name for it is "tRNA-Arg". The record is from RNAcentral. Lineage: Bacteria; Pseudomonadati; Pseudomonadota; Gammaproteobacteria; Enterobacterales; Yersiniaceae. RNAcentral also lists the same sequence under 2 other names.